CCCCCAGUCAUGAAUCACACCGUGGUAACCGUCCUCCCGAAGGUUAGACUAGCUACUUCUGGUGCAACCCACUCCCAUGGUGUGACGGGCGGUGUGUACAAGGCCCGGGAACGUAUUCACCGCGACAUUCUGAUUCNCGAUUACUAGCGAUUCCGACUUCAC
This 162-nucleotide ribosomal RNA is filed under the name uncultured Pseudomonas sp. RNAcentral describes it as "partial 16S ribosomal RNA". The record is from RNAcentral. Lineage: Bacteria; Pseudomonadati; Pseudomonadota; Gammaproteobacteria; Pseudomonadales; Pseudomonadaceae.